This 527-nucleotide ribosomal RNA is filed under the name Salmonella enterica. Its description in RNAcentral is "partial 23S ribosomal RNA". It matches the Rfam family "Bacterial large subunit ribosomal RNA", at positions 1273 to 1783 of the family's 2925-position model. RNAcentral also lists the same sequence under 1 other name. The record is from RNAcentral. Lineage: Bacteria; Pseudomonadati; Pseudomonadota; Gammaproteobacteria; Enterobacterales; Enterobacteriaceae.
CUGGAGGUAUCAGAAGUGCGAAUGCUGACAUAAGUAACGAUAAAGCGGGUGAAAAGCCCGCUCGCCGGAAGACCAAGGGUUCCUGUCCAACGUUAAUCGGGGCAGGGUGAGUCGACCCCUAAGGCGAGGCCGAAAGGCGUAGUCGAUGGGAAACGGGUUAAUAUUCCCGUACUUGGUGUUACUGCGAAGGGGGGACGGAGAAGGCUAUGUUGGCCGGGCGACGGUUGUCCCGGUUUAAGCGUGUAGGUGUGUGUUCCAGGUAAAUCCGGUUCACUUUAACACUGAGGCGUGACGACGAGGCACUACGGUGCUGAAGCAACAAAUGCCCUGCUUCCAGGAAAAGCCUCUAAGCAUCAGGUAACAUCAAAUCGUACCCCAAACCGACACAGGUGGUCAGGUAGAGAAUACCAAGGCGCUUGAGAGAACUCGGGUGAAGGAACUAGGCAAAAUGGUGCCGUAACUUCGGGAGAAGGCACGCUGACACGUAGGUGAAGUGAUUUACUCAUGGAGCUGAAGUCAGUCGAAGA